AUUGAACGCUGGCGGAAUGCUUUACACAUGCAAGUCGAACGGCAGCACGGACUUCGGUCUGGUGGCGAGUGGCGAACGGGUGAGUAAUGUAUCGGAACGUGCCCAGUCGUGGGGGAUAACGUAGUGAAAAUUACGCUAAUACCGCAUACGAUCUAUGGAUGAAAGCGGGGGAUCGCAAGACCUCGCGCGAUUGGAGCGGCCGAUAUCAGAUUAGGUAGUUGGUGGGGGAAAGGCCCACCAAGUCAACGAUCUGUAGAUGGUCUGAGAGGACUACCAGCCACACUGGGACUGAGACGCGGUCCAGACUCCUACGGGAGGCAGCAGUAGGGAAUUUUGGACAAUGGGCGAAAGCCUGAUCCAGCCAUUCCGCGUGCAGGAUGAAGGCCCUCGGGUUGUAAACUGCUUUUGUACAGAACGAAAAGGUUUCUACUAAUACUAGGGGCUCAUGACGGUACUGUAAGAAUAAGCACCGGCUAACUACGUGCCAGCAGCCGCCGUAA
This 500-nucleotide ribosomal RNA is filed under the name uncultured bacterium. RNAcentral describes it as "partial 16S ribosomal RNA". It matches the Rfam family "Bacterial small subunit ribosomal RNA", at positions 30 to 523 of the family's 1533-position model. The record is from RNAcentral.